CGCGUAGGUGGUUUUGUAAGUCGGAUGUGAAAGCCCCGGGCUCAACCUGGGAAUUGCAUUCGAUACUGCAUGACUAGAGUAUGGUAGAGGGAAGUGGAAUUCCGGGUGUAGCGGUGAAAUGCGUAGAUAUCCGGAGGAACAUCAGUGGCGAAGGCGACUUCCUGGACCAAUACUGACACUGAGGUGCGAAAGCGUGGGGAGCAAACA
RNAcentral lists this ribosomal RNA (207 nucleotides) under uncultured bacterium. Its description in RNAcentral is "partial 16S ribosomal RNA". It matches the Rfam family "Bacterial small subunit ribosomal RNA", at positions 568 to 774 of the family's 1533-position model. The record is from RNAcentral.